Molecule: long non-coding RNA, 587 nt
Organism: Papaver somniferum (opium poppy)
Lineage: Eukaryota; Viridiplantae; Streptophyta; Magnoliopsida; Ranunculales; Papaveraceae
Exons: 3
Source: RefSeq, a predicted model, not a curated record
UUGACUUUUUCUCGGAGCAAACAUUUUUUGCUUUUCUCAGAAGCAACUCCUCGUUUUCUUUCUCUCUUCGUCAAAAUCAAAAGAGCUCUGGGAGAAGAACAAGUUAAAGAGUUUUUUUCUUUCUUUCUUUUACCAUCAUUAAAAACUAUUCAAGAUUAGAUGGUGGAAAAACUGGUUGAGUUUUCUAUCUGAGUCUUGAUGUAAUAGGGGAAAUUGAUUUUUAGUUAGCCCGUUGAACUAUUAUUGCAGCAUCUGCAAAGACAUGACGAAGCCUAAAGCUGAUAUAAGUUCUUAAUUUCUUAGAGAUUGAAGAUGAACAAAAAUAAGAGACUAGAAAAUGCAACACCAACCCCAUUAGCUCCAUUGUCUGAAGCAAGGAUUACAGCUUCCAAACCAAACGCGGCAGCUUCCUCGACUUUGAAGACAUCAACUUAGCUGACAGGAACCUAACUAUGGAGGAGUUAGAAACCCAUGGUUUCCUCAUUUUUUGAACUUUUUUUGUAGAUAAUAGAAAUCUGAUGUUGGUUUGAAAAUUAUAUUUGUUUGGAUGCAUAAAUUUUCUUUGCAACAAAUAACAAAACCUGGCA